RNAcentral lists this ribosomal RNA (326 nucleotides) under uncultured eukaryote. RNAcentral's name for it is "partial 18S ribosomal RNA". It matches the Rfam family "Eukaryotic small subunit ribosomal RNA", at positions 1470 to 1796 of the family's 1831-position model. The record is from RNAcentral.
CCCUUAGAUGUUCUGGGCUACACGCGCGCUACACUGAUGCACUCAACGAGUUUACGACCUUGCCCGAUAGGGUUGGGUAAUCUUUUUAAAAUGCAUCGUGAUGGGGAUAGAUUAUUGCAAUUAUUAAUCUUCAACGAGGAAUUCCUAGUAAGCGCGAGUCAUCAGCUCGUGCUGAUUACGUCCCUGCCCUUUGUACACACCGCCCGUCGCUCCUACCGAUUGAGUGCUCAGGUGAAUAAUUCGGACUGCAGCAAUGUUUGGAUCCCGAACGUUGCAGCGGAAAGUUUAGUGAACCUUAUCACUUAGAGGAAGGAGAAGUCGUAACA